Molecule: ribosomal RNA, 1349 nt
Filed under: Staphylococcus aureus
Lineage: Bacteria; Bacillati; Bacillota; Bacilli; Caryophanales; Staphylococcaceae
Description: bacterial SSU rRNA
Rfam family: Bacterial small subunit ribosomal RNA
Source: RNAcentral
GCUUCUCUGAUGUUAGCGGCGGACGGGUGAGUAACACGUGGAUAACCUACCUAUAAGACUGGGAUAACUUCGGGAAACCGGAGCUAAUACCGGAUAAUAUUUUGAACCGCAUGGUUCAAAAGUGAAAGACGGUCUUGCUGUCACUUAUAGAUGGAUCCGCGCUGCAUUAGCUAGUUGGUAAGGUAACGGCUUACCAAGGCAACGAUGCAUAGCCGACCUGAGAGGGUGAUCGGCCACACUGGAACUGAGACACGGUCCAGACUCCUACGGGAGGCAGCAGUAGGGAAUCUUCCGCAAUGGGCGAAAGCCUGACGGAGCAACGCCGCGUGAGUGAUGAAGGUCUUCGGAUCGUAAAACUCUGUUAUUAGGGAAGAACAUAUGUGUAAGUAACUGUGCACAUCUUGACGGUACCUAAUCAGAAAGCCACGGCUAACUACGUGCCAGCAGCCGCGGUAAUACGUAGGUGGCAAGCGUUAUCCGGAAUUAUUGGGCGUAAAGCGCGCGUAGGCGGUUUUUUAAGUCUGAUGUGAAAGCCCACGGCUCAACCGUGGAGGGUCAUUGGAAACUGGAAAACUUGAGUGCAGAAGAGGAAAGUGGAAUUCCAUGUGUAGCGGUGAAAUGCGCAGAGAUAUGGAGGAACACCAGUGGCGAAGGCGACUUUCUGGUCUGUAACUGACGCUGAUGUGCGAAAGCGUGGGGAUCAAACAGGAUUAGAUACCCUGGUAGUCCACGCCGUAAACGAUGAGUGCUAAGUGUUAGGGGGUUUCCGCCCCUUAGUGCUGCAGCUAACGCAUUAAGCACUCCGCCUGGGGAGUACGACCGCAAGGUUGAAACUCAAAGGAAUUGACGGGGACCCGCACAAGCGGUGGAGCAUGUGGUUUAAUUCGAAGCAACGCGAAGAACCUUACCAAAUCUUGACAUCCUUUGACAACUCUAGAGAUAGAGCCUUCCCCUUCGGGGGACAAAGUGACAGGUGGUGCAUGGUUGUCGUCAGCUCGUGUCGUGAGAUGUUGGGUUAAGUCCCGCAACGAGCGCAACCCUUAAGCUUAGUUGCCAUCAUUAAGUUGGGCACUCUAAGUUGACUGCCGGUGACAAACCGGAGGAAGGUGGGGAUGACGUCAAAUCAUCAUGCCCCUUAUGAUUUGGGCUACACACGUGCUACAAUGGACAAUACAAAGGGCAGCGAAACCGCGAGGUCAAGCAAAUCCCAUAAAGUUGUUCUCAGUUCGGAUUGUAGUCUGCAACUCGACUACAUGAAGCUGGAAUCGCUAGUAAUCGUAGAUCAGCAUGCUACGGUGAAUACGUUCCCGGGUCUUGUACACACCGCCCGUCACACCACGAGAGUUUGU